AAGCGCGCGCUUGAUAAGCGUGAGGUCGGAGGUUCAAGUCCUCCCAGGCCCACCAAUUUAUGAUUGCUGAUAAGUUUGCUGAUAAGUUUUUUGUGAAUGUUUUGAUGGUCUUUUAUCUUACGAUCUUUCACUUUUAUGUUGCAAUCUUUCAAAAGUAUUUGAACUGUUUUAGGGGCCGUAGCUCAGCUGGGAGAGCACCUGCUUUGCAAGCAGGGGGUCGUCGGUUCGAUCCCGUCCGGCUCCACCAUCUUUGGUUAUCAUCAUCGUUAAAGAACAAUGUUUGCAAUAGAUCUACAGAUCUUAAGUCUAUCAUCUAUUGCCUGUUCUAUUGAAAUUGUGAAGAGAAGAUAUAUUCAGACAUUACUGUUUUAUUCAGCUAUUGUUGUUUUGUUGUUGCUUUUAAUGUUUAAGUCUCUCCUUUAAGGAAUGACAAAAAGCUUAAAAACGCAACGCUUACUUAAAAACACAACGCUAACAUUGUUAAACAAUGUUUAAAGCAGUGUAAUGUGUCGCUAGGGUAUGCUCAAAGCCUUAGCU
Molecule: transfer RNA, 537 nt
Filed under: uncultured Bartonella sp.
Lineage: Bacteria; Pseudomonadati; Pseudomonadota; Alphaproteobacteria; Hyphomicrobiales; Bartonellaceae
Description: partial 16S-23S ribosomal RNA intergenic spacer
Rfam family: tRNA (bases 172-244)
Source: RNAcentral